Long non-coding RNA from Mizuhopecten yessoensis (Yesso scallop), 379 nucleotides. RefSeq lists it as uncharacterized. NCBI's taxonomy places the organism in Eukaryota, Metazoa, Mollusca, Bivalvia, Pectinida, Pectinidae. The record is from RefSeq and is a predicted model, not a curated record. The transcript has 2 exons.
UCAUAUGCACGUUGACGUCUGGACCAUAUGACAACCGCUACUAUUUUUUUGUAUAUCUAUGCACAUUCACUGCUAUUAAAAUGUUCAGAAGUAUGUAAAUACUUUGACCAAUUAUCCGUGUCGUCACGAUGCCCGUUUUCUCAAAGUUUCAAUGGAUGUAUGGGUAUGUGUUUCCUAAACAAUCAGUGUUAUGAUGUCACGUAAUUUCCGAGGGAACCACCACAUAAUUCAGCUUAUUAUUAUCUCGACACUUAACAAUGGAAGCAGAGGAGUUUAAAAGGACACGGGUGUACGUGCUGGGAGGUCGCGGGUACGGUAAAACUACUGUCAUCAACCUCCUCCUGGGCAAGAUGAACACCCCGACAGACCGCGGAGACAU